Molecule: non-coding RNA, 7204 nt
Organism: Oryctolagus cuniculus (rabbit)
Lineage: Eukaryota; Metazoa; Chordata; Mammalia; Lagomorpha; Leporidae
Source: RefSeq, a predicted model, not a curated record
GUUGUAAAAUGCCACACAGAAUUUCUGCAUCUGACAAUUAGUAACAUACUGAUUUCAUUAACAUAAUGCACACUUACACAUUUUACCACCUCUCAAAAAAUUAUUGAGGGCUUAAGCAGUGUGUCUUAUUUUAAUUCACAGUGCUCCAUAAAAUAAUAGUACCUCUUACAAUAAACGGCAUCUUAAGGUCCCCUGAAAAUGGACAACUUGUUUCUCAGAAUUACAAGUUCUGGCCCCAAAAGACAGCUAGUCCAGUAGCUAGUCCAGCACCUCAUUUUGCAGUUGAGGAACAUGAAACCCGAAUAAGCGGUGUCUCCGUCAGAAAAUUAAGAACAAGAGCCUGAACUCAGGGCUUGCACGCCCCGUAAUGCCUUUUCCAUUACACAACCUGCCUCCAGAGAUUAAAACAAAAAACUACCUGAGUUCAAUACAACAGCUCAUGCUGGUGACAAAUCCAGGCGGUUAAUAUAUACGUAAAAAGCUUAUUACUCAGGAGCCUUGUGUGCGUCCUCAAUCAAGAGGCUGUCUCAAAAUCAGCAACUCUGUAUUUCGUGUUUGGUAAGCCGCACAAUGAAUUACCGACACUUCAAAAACGAGAGCUUCCCCGUAAGACCGGAAUCUCAUCGGAGGCAUUACAAUGACUCAGGGUAAUCUCACUAGCAUCUUCUUUUCUCUGGAGGGGACAGUUCCCCAGGAGAGUUAGCUUUAGCCCACCUGGAACCUACACACUCAUUUCUCAGCCCCAGAAACUUCGCACAUCUUUGGCAGUCUGACAACUGCACGAUUCACAGGUGGUUGGUUCCACACCUCCCAACACAACCACACCAAAGACCAAGCUUCCAGUCCAUGAACCCUCGGGGCGGAAAACCACAUCCGAAUCACAUCAGUCUGCCUUUUCACCACUUUCCCCCAGAAGGUUAGGUCCGAGCUAUCCACUUGUCCAGGGGUGUAAAAUUAGAGAUCAGCAAUGGCAAGGGAGAGAGACCUACUCUGGCUGAUGUGACUACUAGGCCAUGGAGAGCUCACACAUUCACUGGAAGCUGGAAAAUCAGGCUUGGAGAUGGGCAGGAACAGGCAGCUCUGGAGAGAGGAGAGGAAGGAAGCAGGAACCGCAGAACCGUCCAGACACCACUGCCUGAUGAAUGCACGGCACCCAUUUUCAGUUCAGUUCUCUGGAGAACAUUUGACUGGAGAUGGGAUCAAGUUCAGAUGGAUCACAGAUUUAAGUGUGAAGGCAAACUCAAUAAAGCAUUUAGAGGAAAACAGAGAGCCCCUUUGGACCAGAGAGGGCAGGGUAGGGUAUCAAACUCAAGUAGGACUUGUGGAGAGGAGGAUGCCAGGCCCACACCAGGAACAGGAACCAGAGGCACAGCCUGCACAGAGAGCAGUGCACGCCUGUGGCUUAGCGAUUUGAGAAUCUCAAGGAGAGUAGACACCAGGCCCAUGGCAGUGUGAGUGACUCCAGGUCUCUUCAAGUGUCACCACACACCUUCAGUCUUGGUCAGGAUCAGCUCAGGCUGCUCGAAAAGGACUUCAGGGCUCAGAGCUGGGCAGGAAACAGGCAAGGCUCAUGUGUCUCUCCUUCCCGUAAAGGUGCCCAACUAGCUGGGACAGUGGAGAAGCAAGCAACCCGGGGACCGAGCAGUGGGAGACCCAGGGCUCUCAGGGCAGCUCUCUGAGUCUGCGAAGCGUACAGCCCCGAGAUGCAGAAUCUGAAAAGCAGGGCCUCAUGUGUGAUCUCAACUGAUCCCAAGCCUCUGUCAAACACCAUGUCCCUUUUGUCUCAGUGGGGUCGACUACUCUACAUACCUCAGCGUGGCGGGAGGCUGUUCUCCUUGGUGUUUCUGCACAUUUUGUGGCCGCUUUGUCCAAACCAUCUUCUCAAGACUGUCUGUUUAGCAACCGUCUUUGGAGGUUAGAGAUACUGUCUCCCUCUGGUGAGAGAACUGUUUGGUUUCCUGACCCCUAAAAUGAAGAUAAUGACUUCCUCUGGGGCACGUUGGCAGGCACUUCCCAGCUCAAUUCACAAUAGCUAACACGUGGAAUCAACCCAGAUGUCCAUCAACUGAGACUAGAUAAAGAAAUUAUGGUGUCGCUCCCCGUCUUCGUGGAGGAGCGACACUAAACCCUGCCUAGGCUUCAUAUCCGAGUCACGGCACCAUUAUGUCGCUCCCCCUCUUCGUGGAGGAACGACACAGGACCCUGCCUAGGCUUCAUAUCCGAGUCACGGCACCAUUAUGUCGCUCCCCCUCUUUGUGGAGGAGCAACACAGGACCCUGCGCUGUUCUUUCGUCUGCUCGGCCCUCCCCGGGUUUGCUGCUGGUUCUUCCCGGGUUGGCUACUAUCCCUUCCACCUCCGUGGAAGGGCAGUUCCCCCUGGCCACAUUCCCCACUUCCGCAGGGGAGCGGCACACCGCCGGCCGGCUCUCUCGGGGGCUGCACAGUGUUCCCCUUAGAUGUUCCUCGUAGAUGUUCCUGGUGAAUGCCGUCUCUCUCCUCCUUUAUAGUCCUCCUCCGCCAAUCCCAACUCGGCUGCCCACACGCCGAGUACGCUGCUCUCCAAUCAGGAGCAAGUCCUACAGUUUAUUGGCUGAACUGGAGGCAGCUGUGUAGAAGCCUCUUUCUUCUCUCCCAGCGCCAUAUUGUGGGAGAGCAGAUGCAUAGAAUAAGUCUUAAUUCCAGUAACAGUCUAGUCCGAGUUGCUCCCCACAUAUGGUAUAUAUACGCUAUGGAAUACUACACAGCAGUAAAAAAUGAAAUCUUGUCGUUUGCAACAAAACGAAUGCAACUGGAAACCAUAAUACUCAGGGAAAUAAACUAAUCCCCAGAAUACAAAUGCCAUAUGUUCUCCCUGAUCUGUGGUAACUAAUAGAGCACCUGACAGGUAAGCUACAGGAGUGAAAUUGACACUUUGAGAUGCAAUGAUCUUUUAUAGCCCUUGUGUGGACUGUUGAGGAACAGUGUUUUGUUUGUUUUCAUUAAACUAUUUGCUGAACUCUUGGUGUAGGCUUAAUCUUAUGAGUAUAACGUUAACUGAAAAGAGAUCUUUGUAAUAAAUAAGAAUGGGAAUAGGAGAGGGAGGAAGAGGAAGGGUGGGAGUAUCUCUAUGUUCCUGAAUCUGUGUAUAUGAAAUACAUGAAAUUUGUAUAUCUUAAAAAAAAAAGAUGGCCUGAAGGCUUGGGCUCCUGCCACUCAUGUUGGAGACCCAGAUGGAAUUCCAGGCUCCUUUCUUUGCCUUGGCCUAGCUCCUGCUGUUGUGGCCAUUUGGGGAAGUGAACCAGCAGAUGGAAGAUCUCUCUCUCUUUCUCUCUCUCUCUGUAACUCUUCUUUUCAAAUAAAUAAAUAAUUUUUAAAGAUUUAUUUAUUUAUUUAUUUGACAGGUAGAGUUACAGACAGUGAGGGAGAGAGACAGAGAGAAAGGUCUUCCUUCCAUUGGUUCACCCCUCAAAUGGCCGCCACAGCCAGAACUAUGCCCAUCUGAAGCCAGGAGCCAGGUGCUUCUCCUGGUCUCCCAUGGGGUGCAGGGCCCAAGCACUUGGGGCAUCCUCCACUGCACUCCCAGGCCACAGCAGAGAGCUGGACUGGAAAAGGAGCAACCGGGACUAGAACCUGCUGCCCACAUUGGAUGCCGGCACCACAGGUACAGGUAGAGGAUUAACCUACUAUGCCACAGCGCUGGCCCCAUAAAUAAUUAAAAAAAAAAAGUUUGAAAGAGAUUUUUAAAUCAGUAAACUACCCCUUUUAUAAUGCAUUAUGCUUUGCAAUUUCCUAGUUGGAUGCUUUAAAAAUAAAUACAUAUGUAAUUCCAUCGGCGUGCUCCACUGAUGGGGAAGCAGCAGUUGUGUGAUGGAUCAAUGCCUGGACGCCCUGGGGUGCAGACUCCCAGGCUGUGAGAACCUCCACUAAAGGCUUUGUCUGGAGCUGGAGGGCUGGGGUUGACCUCCUGCCUCGUUUCCCAGCUUCCCUCCUGUUUCCCUCCUUGAUGUGAAAAACCCUGGUUUAGAACUGUUUGCACCAGAUUUCCCCUUCUUCCUUCAUUAGUCACCUUUUAGUCACUGUAUUAAUCCUCGCAUUUCUGGUAAAAGUUAGGUGGGGGCAGGAGCUAAGCCCUUGAUCGUCAGCAGCUGAAAGCCUGCCGUCCAUGUGUAGCUUGCAUCAGGGUCUGCUUGCAGAGGCCCGGGGGGGACAGCCAGGAGACAUCCCACCUUCACCCCGUAGUCUUGGGAUUCCUCUUCUCCUGGAGCUCAGUGUCUCCCGUGUUUUUCCCUCCCUUACCCUCUUUGGCUCCUUCUUCAGUUUGAAGGGUCUAUGUUUUAGCUGCUUCCAUUCCUUUCCUGGAUGGACCCAGGACGGUGAGUCAGGAGGGUGCUGGGAAGAGUGCGCCUGCCUUCAGGGAGUGGCAGCGAGCGAGCGGGGAUCCAAACCUCCGCACUCCCCAGGUCAGCAGAUCUUUAGGUAUUAAGAAGUCCGUCAGCCUCAUUUUGUUGUUCUAAUCUGUUUUUCAUUCCCCCUUAGGAGGAAGGAGGGUAAACAAAACAAAAAACCCUCCUUCCUGCUAGAAAUCAAAUAUCACAGAUGUUAACUGAUGAUUACAACAGAGAAGCCGGCCAAGAACCCCUGGAGGAGGCGUGGCCUGCAGCGAGGGGGCGGGGCGUUCGUUGAGCUGAGCGUUCCAGCAGAUGCUCUGAGGUUGUGAGUGCGUUCCGCAGCUCUGCUCUUGGAGGGCUGGGAGCUAUAAGGCAGUGGGACAGAGAAAGUCUGCAUUUUCUACCUUUACUUUCUUCCUUGUUUAGGAAAAUGGCACCCAGCUCUGCCUGUGUGAAAAGAUGUGGGUGCCUCUUUUAUGGAGUGCUACUUAGGGACCCAAAAUAAGGAACAGCAGUGGACUUGCUGCAUGCAUUUUGCCUUCUCGGCAGCCACUGCUGCCUCCUCUGAUAGCUGUUAUGAUGGGGAGGGUGGGGGGCACCCUCACUCUUGGUCCACACUGGGGUUCAGGAGAGGCUGACCUCCACUCAGCCCAAUGCCCCUGCUCCAAGCUGGGCAUGGUUGCAUGGGAGUGUCCCUGUGCUGAAAAGUCAGCCCCAGGCCUCUGCUGGCACUCUUACGAAAGAGGGGAAUGCUUCCCAAUGCCAGGGCCAACCCUGGGACUUGCUCCCGGCUUGCUGGCCAAAAGCUCACCAAGUGAAGCCGAGUAGAAGAGAUUCGGUUGAGCAAUGAUGGGAGAAGGUUCUCUCUCUCUCUCUCUCUCUCUUUUUUUUUUUUUUUUUUGACAGGCAGAGUGGACAGUGAGAGAGAGAGACAGAGAGAAAGGUCUUCCUUUUGCUGUUGGUUCACCCUCCAAUGCCCGCCGCGGCCGGUGCUCUGCAGCCGGCGCUCUGCGGCCGGUGCACCACGCUGAUCCGAAGGCAGGAGCCAGGUGCUUCUCCUGGUCUCCCAUGGGGUGCAGGGCCCAAGCACUUGGGCCAUCCUCCACUGCACUCCCUCCCUGGCCACAGCAGAGAGCUGGCCUGGAAGAGGGGCAACCAGGACAGAAUCCAGCACCCUGACUGGGACUAGAACCUGGUGUGCUGGCGCCGCAAGGCGGAGGAUUAGCCUAGUGAGCCGCGGCGCCGGCCGGGAGAAGGUUCUUGAGAACUUGUCUGAAGAUCUGCAUCCAGAUGUAGCUGAAACUGAUAUUACCUUGGACGUUUUCAUUCUGGGCCCCAUGAAGUCUUCCCAAUCCUUUUGGUUUUUAAAAAUUAAUUCAUUUAAGAAGGAGGGAGAGAGAGAGAUCACUCGCCUUUGCUGGUUCACUUCCCAAAUGCCCGCAAUGGUCAGAGCUGGGUUGGACUGAAACCAAAGAGAUGGGAACUCAGUCCACGUCUCCCAUGUGGGUGGCAGGAGCCCAGUGCUUGACCCAUCACUGCUGCCUCCCAUCACGUCACUGCAUGCCUCUGCAUUGUGAGCGCAAGUGGACUUGUUGUCCCAGACUCACACAGAUAUCUGCACUCUGCUCUCUUCAUGUCAAUCUGGAGAUUUGAUCUAACUGUGGUGGCUGGGAGCUGGGGCCAGUGGCUGGUCUUUAGGCCACUGGAGGCAUGCUCUGAGAGGGGCUUCUUUCAAGAGGGUUGAUUAUUAUCUGAGUUCAGCUUCAGCCUAGGUUCUCUCUUUCUGGUUCUCCACGUGAUUUUGCCUCUGCACCUGCCACAGCCAGUCUCCACAGAUGCUGGACUAUGGGGCCAUCGAUCCUGAACUGUGAUCUCAGAACUGUAAGGACCAACUCAACCACCUAUGAACCCUUCUGACUCCUCACAGUACCCUGCAUUUUCUCCCUGGUGUCAGCCACAGUUAAGGACCCGCUAUCUCUGUGACUGUCAUGAAUGCCAGGUGCACAAGAAAUGACACUGACCACCUUGGUUUGGUGCAUUUCUCCAGGCCUGCACAAGGCUUGCCCAGAACUGGACUGGAUAACAGAACGGGAGGUGACUAGACUGCAAAAUUUGAAGCAUUAGGAGGCACUCAUUCUCAGCAUGUUGCAAGUUCAAGCUUACUAUUGUGGAAGGUUAAAAUACUAGUCACCCAGGUAUCCCUAGCCCAAGAGGCGCUGAACCAAGAGGAUGGUUGGACGAGAGGAAGGAGUCAGGAGCCAAAGCGUGCUGGCAGCCUCCAGACGUUAGAAAAGGAAGGAAUCAGAUUCUUCCUUACCGUCCCCAGAAAGGAUUGGCCCUGCCAACACCCAGAUUUUGGUUCAGACUGUGGGGCUACAACGAUGCUGCUCAGGCUCGGGUCCUACAUAAGAAGUGUAAACUGCUGUGAAUUCAGAAGAAGCAAGAAACACCAUGGAGGGCAUUGAAAUGUUUCCGUAAAUUUUAAUGAUUGAUGUCUGUGCAUGAACAAAUACAAGAAGGAAACAUUUAAAUAUGGAGGUGACCAAUGCAAAUAAAGAUGUAUGGACCAAACAACAACACAAAAGCAGAAAUAAAAAUAGUUUGUUGUGAGUUCAGUGGGCUCCAAUAAUUGUCUGGGAGCCCAUGGAUUAGCUAGCCUGACUCUGAUGGGAAUGGGAAAUUGAGUCCCACAGGGGUAAAGUGACUUGUCCUCACCCUGCUAUGGCUGAUGUCACUGCUCUCUCCAGAUUCAGCUCUUCUGCAUCCUUUUCAUUCCUCUGUACAGCUUCCAUAUAUCAGUUCUUGGAGAGUCUAAAUAACACGGAAUCUGAGUUGAA